CCUUACCUGGCCUUGACAUACUAAGAACUUUCCAGAGAUGGAUUGGUGCCUUUCGGGAACUUAGAUACAGGUGCUGCAUGGCUGUCGUCAGCUCGUGUCGUGAGAUGUUGGGUUAAGUCCCGCAACGAGCGCAACCCUUUUUCCUUAUUUGCCAGCGGGUUAAGCCGGGAACUUUAAGGAUACUGCCAGUGACAAACUGGAGGAAGGCGGGGACGACGUCAAGUCAUCAUGGCCCUUACGGCCAGGGCUACACACGUGCUACAAUGGUCGGUACAAAGGGUUGCUACCUCGCGAGAGGAUGCUAAUCUCAAAAAGCCGAUCGUAGUCCGGAUCGCAGUCUGCAACUCGACUGCGUGAAGUCGGAAUCGCUAGUAAUCGCGGAUCAGAAUGCCGCGGUGAAUACGUUCCCGGGCCUUGUACACACCGCCCGUCACACCAUGGGAGUUUGUUGCACCAGAAGUAGGUAGUCUAACCGCAAGGAGGACGCUUACCACGGUGUGGCCGAUGACUGGGGUGAAGUCGUAACAAGGUAAGCGUAGAUGA
Molecule: ribosomal RNA, 543 nt
Filed under: uncultured bacterium
Lineage: Bacteria
Description: bacterial SSU rRNA
Rfam family: Bacterial small subunit ribosomal RNA
Source: RNAcentral